AUCUAAAUAGUAUAUAAAUUACAUUUAACUUCCAAUUAAAAAACCUAUUAAUUAGUUUAGAUA
This 63-nucleotide transfer RNA is filed under the name Microrhagus sp. ZM-2022. RNAcentral's name for it is "tRNA-Gly". The record is from RNAcentral. Lineage: Eukaryota; Metazoa; Arthropoda; Insecta; Coleoptera; Eucnemidae.